This 130-nucleotide ribosomal RNA is filed under the name Carlito syrichta (Philippine tarsier). Lineage: Eukaryota; Metazoa; Chordata; Mammalia; Primates; Tarsiidae. The record is from RNAcentral.
GUCUACAGCCAUAACACCCUAAAUGACCUGAUCUCAUCUCAUCUCCGAAUCUAGGCAGGGUCGGGCUGGUUAGUACUUGGAUGGAAAAAACUCCGUGUCUCAAAAAAAAAAAAAAAAGUGUGUGUGUGUG